Molecule: ribosomal RNA, 447 nt
Filed under: uncultured bacterium
Lineage: Bacteria
Description: bacterial SSU rRNA
Rfam family: Bacterial small subunit ribosomal RNA
Source: RNAcentral
UGGGGAAUAUUGGACAAUGGGCGAAAGCCUGAUCCAGCAAUGCCGCGUGAGUGAUGAAGGCCUUAGGGUUGUAAAGCUCUUUUACCAGGGAUGAUAAUGACAGUACCUGGAGAAUAAGCUCCGGCUAACUUCGUGCCAGCAGCCGCGGUAAUACGAAGGGAGCUAGCGUUGUUCGGAAUCACUGGGCGUAAAGCGCACGUAGGCGGAUAGUUAAGUCAGGGGUGAAAUCCUGGGGCUCAACCCCAGAACUGCCUUUGAUACUGGCUGUCUCGAGGUCGAGAGAGGUUGGUGGAAUUCCUAGUGUAGAGGUGAAAUUCGUAGAUAUUAGGAAGAACACCAGUGGCGAAGGCGGCCAACUGGCUCGAUACUGACGCUGAGGUGCGAAAGCGUGGGGAGCAAACAGGAUUAGAUACCCGAGUAGUCCCUGAGCGGGCUGGCAAGGCGCAU